RNAcentral lists this ribosomal RNA (399 nucleotides) under uncultured bacterium. Its description in RNAcentral is "bacterial SSU rRNA". It matches the Rfam family "Bacterial small subunit ribosomal RNA", at positions 30 to 433 of the family's 1533-position model. The record is from RNAcentral.
AUUGAACGCUGGCGGAAUGCUUUACACAUGCAAGUCGAACGGUAGAGGGGGCAACCCCUUGAGAGUGGCGAACGGGUGAGUAAUAUAUCGGAACGUGCCCAGUCGUGGGGAUAACGUAGCGAAAGUUACGCUAAUACCGCAUACGAUCUACGGAUGAAAGCGGGGGGACUCGCAAGAGCCUCGCGCGAUUGGAGCGGCCGAUAUCAGAUUAGGUAGUUGGUGGGGUAAAGGCUCACCAAGCCAACGAUCUGUAGCUGGUCUGAGAGGACGACCAGCCACACUGGAACUGAGACACGGUCCAGACUCCUACGGGAGGCAGCAGUGGGAAUUUUGGACAAUGGACGCAAGUCUGAUCCAGCCAUUCCGCGUGCAGGAUGAAGGCCUCGGGUUGUAAACUGC